GCUGUAGUAGUUUAAUGGCAGAAUUCAGGACUGUGGAUCCUGGGGCGCGGGUUCGAUUCCCGCCUACGGCC
RNAcentral lists this transfer RNA (71 nucleotides) under Candidatus Woesearchaeota archaeon. RNAcentral's name for it is "tRNA-His". It matches the Rfam family "tRNA". Rfam says of the family: Transfer RNA (tRNA) molecules are approximately 80 nucleotides in length. Their secondary structure includes four short double-helical elements and three loops (D, anti-codon, and T loops). Further hydrogen bonds mediate the characteristic L-shaped molecular structure. tRNAs have two regions of fundamental functional importance: the anti-codon, which is responsible for specific mRNA codon recognition, and the 3' end, to which the tRNAs corresponding amino acid is attached (by aminoacyl-tRNA synthetases). tRNAs cope with the degeneracy of the genetic code in two manners: having more than one tRNA (with a specific anti-codon) for a particular amino acid; and 'wobble' base-pairing, i.e. permitting non-standard base-pairing at the 3rd anti-codon position. The record is from RNAcentral. Lineage: Archaea; Nanobdellati; Candidatus Woesearchaeota.